This 495-nucleotide ribosomal RNA is filed under the name uncultured bacterium. Its description in RNAcentral is "partial 16S ribosomal RNA". It matches the Rfam family "Bacterial small subunit ribosomal RNA", at positions 28 to 507 of the family's 1533-position model. The record is from RNAcentral.
GAUGAACGCUGGCGGCGUGCCUAAUACAUGCAAGUCGAACGCUGAAGGAGGAGCUUGCUCUUCUGGAUGAGUUGCGAACGGGUGAGUAACGCGUUGGUAACCUGCCUGGUAGCGGGGGAUAACUAUUGGAAACGAUAGCUAAUACCGCAUGACAACAGUUAUUGCAUGAUAACUGUUUAAAAGGGGCAACUGCUCCACUACCAGAUGGACCUGCGUUGUAUUAGCUAGUUGGUGAGGUAACGGCUCACCAAGGCGACGAUACAUAGCCGACCUGAGAGGGUGAUCGGCCAAACUGGGACUGAGACACGGCCCAGACUGCUACGGGAGGCAGCAGUAGGGAAGCUUCGGCAAUGGACGGAAGGCUGACCGAGCAACGCCGCGUGAGUGAAGAAGGGUGUCGGAUCGUAAAGCUCUGUUGUAAGAGAAGAACGAGUGUGAGAGUGGAAAGUUCACACUGUGACGGUAUCUUACCAGAAAGGGACGGCUAACUACGUG